Molecule: unclassified non-coding RNA, 216 nt
Filed under: Hevea brasiliensis (rubber tree)
Lineage: Eukaryota; Viridiplantae; Streptophyta; Magnoliopsida; Malpighiales; Euphorbiaceae
Source: RNAcentral
GCACAUUUGGAGAGGAAGCUGCGGAAAAAUCAAGUGGCGGACACUGAUAACGGGGUGGGCUCCAGAAGAAAUUUGGUAAGUUCUGCCAUACUUAGAGAGGGUCUCUUUUUCUAGUUUUCUACUUUUCCAGGGCCACAUAUCCGACUGUGAGAGUUGAGGUCCUUGGACCCUGAUUCUAAUACCAUGUGUGUGCUAGUAUAGGAGCCACAAAGCAGG